UUAAGACAAAGAAGCAUCACCAAAGUUUCUCAAUUUUUGGCUCCUUAUUCCCCUCUUUAUUAUUAUUUUCUUUUUCCUUCGUUGGGUUGGGUGAGGAUCCAUCUAAAGUGGAGGCAAGAAAGAACGAUCAUCAAGGCAAUCUUGGAUCUCUCAGAUCUCUUCUUAUUGGUCACGGAAAAAGAAGUCAUCCAUUUCCAAGAUUUGUUGAGAGAGAGAAAAGGGGGCUUACAAUUGAUAGAUAUACAAUAGGAGUACGAUAGAAGUGAAUCAAUCUUGGAAAUGAAAGAAAGAAAGGCAUGACUCGAACCCUCAUAUCAAGAGAAGAGGUGAAAAUUAUUUUAUCCAGACAGAAUUUCUCAUACUGCAAAUUUUUGGACAUUCAUUAGUUGCCAAAUAUUUGCCCCUUUUCUUCCUGUUUGUUCAAAUAUAUUAUAUAUAGCCUUUUGUGUUAGGACACUACUAUUCCAAUAAAUAUCUGGA
RNAcentral lists this long non-coding RNA (480 nucleotides) under Populus tremula. RNAcentral's name for it is "long non-coding RNA (PTRE_LNC000089)". The record is from RNAcentral. Lineage: Eukaryota; Viridiplantae; Streptophyta; Magnoliopsida; Malpighiales; Salicaceae.